CAAGAGAAACUGAAUAUUCCUUCCACUCCCUUAUCUCUGAUAACAUAUUCUUCCAAUUCACCUGAAAGAGUUUAAUACCCUCAUAAAAUGUGCAACAUUCAUUAAAUUUCUGAAACUCAUACAUCUCCUCAGAGCCCACUACUGUCAUCCCCUGGCUUAUCCACUCUAUCACACGUGUCCAUAUGCACAUGUCCGCUCACACAUUCAUAAACAAGCCUCCGUCACUAAGCCUCUUACAAUCAGUGCGCUUGCAUGUGAGUGUGUGUUGUUAUUUGAGGCCAGAAAUGCAUGAUUGGGCUGCUGGGCCCGAAAUGGAUGGCACGCACAAUUACCGGCAAAGCUCCAGAUCCUAACCUCUCACUCAGUCCUCCACUUUGUCCAUACAGCUCACUAAGUCUAAAAACAGAACCCUGUCUCCAUGAAGCCAAAAUGCUGUGCUUAGUUUGCCAUUUUAAACUGUGGCAAUUAAGUUACACCCAUUUUCCCCGAUUUGAGAUGAAUAAUUGUCUUCCACAAUCUGGGUCUCUAAUGCAGCUGUAGUUUCUGUUUGCCUUGGUAGGAGGGUGGGAUCCUCGGAGCAGAGGAAAGUUAAUAGCUAGUUGGUUGAUCACCAUCUGUUUCAGCUGACUUUAGCUCAUCAAAGGAACACACACUGAAAAUGUUCUCAUUAUUGGGAUACAAGAUUGUGUCAGCAGAUAUUAGAACUCUAACAAUUGUUUCAGCUGAACAAGAGGAGCCACAUCCACCGAUUCAUCUGGGCCGUGCCCAUCGGCAUCAUUUGCUACAACUUAUCUAUCAACUGUAGCUCCACCAAUAGCAGAGAACGCUUUUGUAUCGGCUUUUGUAUCUGCUGACAGACAUACAGAUGAUGUGUUUCUGUGCUUUCCAGGUUUUGUCUUCGUUCCAAAACUUGUCUUCAGACUUCAAACUCACUAACAGCUGUUCUGUCGAAUCUGCUGAUGAGGCAGAGUGGUACAGCAUCUGGCAUUCUCAGUACAUAUGUACUUUCUGGAAAGCGGUCUAUUAUGAAAUCUGCCCUCUUCGGAUAAGGAGCCAAUACUCACCCAGGAGACGUUCUUUGCCUUCAGCAAUUUGGACAUGGCCCGCAGGUGGAAAGGCAGAGAACCCGACUCCCGACAGACUCAGUCACAUGCAAAGACGCCCAGACUGCAUUUAGCAGCUGUGGCAACAUCCUCCAUCCUCCACUGUCUGCCCCCUUUGCCAACAAACCUCCCCAGAUUUACAUCUGCCUGAAGCCUCGGCUGCCCAUCAGACCCAGUGAAACGUUCUGCAAGGAGGAGGAGGAGGAAGAGGAGGAAGAGUGGGAGCCAAAGAGAAACAAAGACGAGCUCCAGAAGUAGCUGUCAGAGGCAGAAAUAGAACUUGCAUAAAGUUCCCUCCGUCUUCUGCCUGAAUCAUCCUCUUCUUCCUCCUUGUUGAUGGUCACCUGAUCACCCUUAAAUGACUAACAUCCGUGAGAAUAUGAAGGUAAACGUCUAUCUGAAGCACGGCUUAAAAUGUUAUGAGAAAAAAACAAAACAAAACAAAAAAACAACAACCUGCAAACAGUCAACUUUGCCCUCCUAACAUCUGGGGGGAAAGAGAUGAAGGAAGAAGAACAGUGAGGAAGAGCGAUGAUGGGAAACUGAGUAAGGUGAAAUCAACCAGUUGGAAAAGAGCACAGCAGGUUGGAGGGCAGGGUGCUGAUCUCCAGCUUUAGAUUAAAGAAAAACAUUGUUUUCUCUCUAAUGUCUUGUUUCCAUUCCAUACUAUGUCAAACAGAGAACAACAGGGGGGAGGAUGAACCUAUUCAGCCUCCAUGCUUCUGUCCCUGCCUGUGUUAUCUUGUGCCGUGAUUGUAAUCUGGCCGAUGAGCCUCUGAUUGGUCAGGCAGGGAAAGAGAAGGAUUGGUAGAGUCAGAGAUUAAUGGAAUUAUACACGAUCGCCUGUUUUUCCAGACUUAAAAUCACAUUCAAAUUGAGCCUUUUCUGGAGCGUUAGUGACAAAACAUGAUGUGAGCAACUCUGCAGCGAACUUUGCACAAAAAGGAAGAACAUUUAUGUCUGGGCAAUAAUUUUCCUCUGGCAAUAUAUCUUGCUUUGUUAUUUUAUUCCCUUUAAAUUGUGACACAUUUGUAAAAAAAUUAUAUCGGCUUGUUAAGCAUCAUAGUUAUGGGUUUCCUCCCAUAAAAAAACAAAACAAAACAAAAAAAAACUUGUCAAAUUCACCAUCAUCUGGGUCUCAGCGUUCAUUCUACAACCGCUACAUCAUGACAAAAGCGAAAUUUAACAACAAAAAAUUUCUCUUUUCUAGCAGUCGUUGUACAGCACAUACAGCAGUAAAACAAGCUGACCAAACAUGCUGGAGCUCCUCUUGGGUUGCUAUGUAACAGGCUGGGUUACCUUGGGCUGGCUAGGUAACGGAACAGCGUCCACUGACUGUGACUUAGUUAUAAGGAAGUUUUUCUAACAGCUGGUUUUUCAGAUACCAAAAAACAUGAACUUAUUACCAGAAAAAAUGUUGGGGAGUUUUGUAAGCUCUCUGACUGUUUCUAUGAGCAGUAGAGACUCAAAUGGAAGCAUAGAGUGACGUGUGACUCAUAAAUAUUGGCACAUAAGUAUUUCUGAAGGAUUAUAAAGUAGCACAAAUUGGUAAUAAAUCUGAACUGUUUAACCUUUACUGAGCUCAACCUUUUGUGUUGGGUUUCCAGUAACAGUGCUCUCGCUUAGACUACUACACAAUGCAGAGCACAAUUCAAUAAAAUAUGAUUUUCUGUUUGAAACAAUUGAUGCUUUUAUAUUCAACAGCCUUUACCAAACUAUGCUCACCUACGUACACAUUCAUCAAUGAGUCUUCAUCAAAUGUGAGCAGCAGGUAUCAUUUGUUGUUGCGACGCUGCUUUUAUUCGACCUGAUUUUCUAAGCUCCUUUUUUUUUUCUGGCUUGGUGCUGAGGUGGGCACUCAUGCUAUGCAGCAGUUACAGCGCGCGGUAAUCUGCAAGGCUUUAAGCUGACAGUCGAGAGAGUGCCGAGGGCCAACAGUAAGCCAGCUUCAUGCGGGGGAAAAUAUGGCGACGAUAAGGUUUUCUGCAGUUGACGCCAUCACAAAAUGCGCAGCUCUAAUAAACAUCAUAAUAUCAGCAUUAACAGGAAUUACCAAAAGAAGUGGAGGCACAUGCAAAACUCGUGCAGUAAGUAAAGAUGAGUUGGAGGAGAAAGUUAGAGAGGAAAAGUAGAAAAGGGAUCAGAGUCAGA
Molecule: long non-coding RNA, 3254 nt
Organism: Poecilia latipinna (sailfin molly)
Lineage: Eukaryota; Metazoa; Chordata; Actinopteri; Cyprinodontiformes; Poeciliidae
Exons: 2
Source: RefSeq, a predicted model, not a curated record